Molecule: ribosomal RNA, 260 nt
Filed under: Streptococcus pneumoniae 845
Lineage: Bacteria; Bacillati; Bacillota; Bacilli; Lactobacillales; Streptococcaceae
Description: partial 16S ribosomal RNA
Rfam family: Bacterial small subunit ribosomal RNA
Source: RNAcentral
GGCAGUCUCAGUUCGGAUUGUAGGCUGCAACUCGCCUACAUGAAGUCGGAAUCGCUAGUAAUCGCGGAUCAGCACGCCGCGGUGAAUACGUUCCCGGGCCUUGUACACACCGCCCGUCACACCACGAGAGUUUGUAACACCCGAAGUCGGUGAGGUAACCGUAAGGAGCCAGCCGCCUAAGGUGGGAUAGAUGAUUGGGGUGAAGUCGUAACAAGGUAGCCGUAUCGGAAGGUGCGGCUGGAUCACCUCCUUUCUAAGGA